Molecule: ribosomal RNA, 253 nt
Filed under: uncultured prokaryote
Description: partial 16S ribosomal RNA
Rfam family: Bacterial small subunit ribosomal RNA
Source: RNAcentral
ACAGAGGUGGCAAGCGUUGUUCGGAAUUACUGGGCGUAAAGCGUGCGCAGGCGGUUUCGUAAGUCUGUCGUGAAAUCCCCGGGCUUAACCUGGGAACUGCAUUUGUGACUGUACGGCUAGAGUGCGGCAGAGGGGGAUGGAAUUCCGCGUGUAGCAGUGAAAUGCGUAGAUAUGCGGAGGAACACCGAUGGCGAAGGCAAUCCCCUGGGCCUGCACUGACGCUCAUGCACGAAAGCGUGGGGAGCAAACAGGA